UGUAUUGAUAUUAGCAUGCAUGAUUGUAAAGUGUUUCGUUAGGCUUUUUAUCUUUGAGAAAUUUCUGUUUGUUCCCCCAUCUAGUUUGAAAAGACAUGAGAGGAUCACUUCCUGUGGAUGAUAGUGUACCAUCUGACGAGAGUGGUGAUGCGAAUUAUUGUAGGGGUCACCAUUGGAAAAGUACGGUCGUGGCCAUAGUUAACAUGUAGGACCACUGUGGCUAGCACGAUCGUGGUCAUAGAUCGUGCAUGGUUUGGCAAGGUGUAAAUGUGUUA
Molecule: long non-coding RNA, 275 nt
Filed under: Carica papaya (papaya)
Lineage: Eukaryota; Viridiplantae; Streptophyta; Magnoliopsida; Brassicales; Caricaceae
Description: long non-coding RNA (CPAP_LNC003319)
Source: RNAcentral